CAAUAGCGUAUAUUAAAGUUGUUGCGGUUAAAAAGCUCGUAGUUGGAUUUCUGCUGAGGACGACCGGUCCGCCCUCUGGGUGAGCAUCUGUUUCGGCCUUGGCAUCUUCUUGGAGAACGUAGCUGCACUUGACUGUGUGGUGCGGUAUCCAGGACUUUUACUUUGAGGAAAUUAGAGUGUUUCAAGCAGGCACACGCCUUGAAUACAUUAGCAUGGAAUAAUAAGAUAGGACCUCGGUUCUAUUUUGUUGGUUUCUAGAGCUGAGGUAAUGAUUAAUAGGGAUAGUUGGGGGCAUUCGUAUUUAACUGUCAGAGGUGAAAUUCUUGGAUUUGUUAAAGAUGGACUACUGCGAAAGCAUUUGCCAAGGAUGUUUUCAUUGA
RNAcentral lists this ribosomal RNA (380 nucleotides) under uncultured eukaryote. RNAcentral's name for it is "partial 18S ribosomal RNA". It matches the Rfam family "Eukaryotic small subunit ribosomal RNA", at positions 592 to 976 of the family's 1831-position model. The record is from RNAcentral.